UGCUCGUUGCCAUCCCUCCCUUGUUUCCCCUCCUCCUCCAGACCUUCUCUCCUUCAAAGUGAACGAGCCGAAGUCCGCUAUUCCUCUGUAGACAUCAAGUGCUAAUCUCGUUUUCAUCCCCAAAUUUCUUCUGCCAGAGCCAAGGCCGGCUGUGCAGCCGUUUCGCCGUCGUCGACCUUUUUCCGCCGCACCAUAGCACCAGCAGGACCACCUCUCACUGAUCGCGUUGAAGAUCCCACCGGACUCGCAGGAACUGAAGUGGACCUAGAAGGCUACGUUGAAGCUCCCGAAGGCCACAUUUCACGAGGCAAGCCAUAGUUCCAAUCUUUGAUCAUAUUGAAACCUUGUAGAGAACCACUUAGUUAUUUUCUGCAUUGAGUAUUUAUAAAAUUAUUUUGCAUAUGAAUUAUUUUUGAAUAAACUUGUUAGUUUAGUUAUUACCCAUUAUUACAUUGUUAUUAUUGGCCAAAUCCAUGAAUUGCUAUAUCACGUCCUUUGAUAACCUAGGUGUAGAUUUAUAUACUUCACAAUAAUAUUCUAGUGGAUAAGACUACCAAAUAUCUAUACUCAUAUACAUGGUUUACCCGUCGUCACGUGGUGGCGUGUCGGGUGAUAUAAAAUGUGUUAUUUGAUAUGAGUCACUCGCCUGGAGUGAUAUGGAAGAUUAAUUCCGGGUGAAGAUGGAUGUUGUGGUGUGUGAGGCCGUGCAUAUUGUUAUAAUUAUUUUGUGGAAAGUGUAUAUUUACACUUGAAGUAUGCACGGGCCUGUGCUAGUUUUGGUGGCUUUCCCGGAUAUAAGGACUACCCCCUUAUGCCAUGGAAAAUGAUGUAAUUUGCGCCUAUCCAUAGGACUGAGUAAUCAGACUUAGCCUAGUACAUUGUCCCACUAUAUGAAAGACUGUAGGGUGGCUCUAUGAGCAGGUUUGGGGUGGACAUGUGGAAGGGGCUUUGGCCAGGUUGACAUGAUCCACAACGGUGGAACCCGUGAAAGCAGCGACCGUCUAGCCUUGCUUAGGCCUAGCAAGUGCCCGACUGCUAGGACGGAUCAAUAUCCCACUGGGCAGUAACUAGUAGUAAGUGGGAUUCUCAAACGGCUAUGUUGUCCUCAGCCUAGCUAGCUGUUGACAUCAGGUGGGUAAAGCUGGGCAGUCUCUACAGAGAUGAGUCUUAAAUCAUUCGAAUGUGCCGUGCUUCCGGUUAAGAAGCUAUGUCAUUGGGUGAUUCCUAUUUAUCAUGGUAUGAGUAGAUUUUAAAUUAAAAUAUGGAAUAUGACGAAGAUGAGGAUGAAUGGUGAUUAAUAUUGCUACCAUUUUAAAAUGAUGAUUUAUAAUUGUUUGCGAAUAAAAUGUUUGAUAAAGUAGGGAAAAACUAUUUAUAAUAGGCUUGUUAUGGAACCUCCUUGAUGAACUAUAUUCUUUGUACGCCUUGCAUAUAUUCUAUUUGUAUUAUUAUGGAUGUGGCUUGUUGGGUACCUCGUUACUCACCUCUUGCAUAAAAUGUGGUUCAGACGAUCAGUUCUUCCCUGAGGAGGCGCAGGAAGGGGAAGAAUUCUAUGGUGCUGUCGAGUUUUUGUUCUAGGUUGAUCUGCUCUCAGGCGUUGCCUGUGGUGUUUUUAUCCUAUUUUGUGUUUGAGUCUUUUGUUUGUAGGGAGUGUGUUUGGCCUGUCGGCCCCUAAAACCUGUCUUAGUUAUCUUUUAUGUAAUAAUUUCUGUAAAAACUUGGGUAUAUGUAUCGAAAGCUGUUCUGUAUAUCAAUCUGUGUGCGAUCGAAA
Molecule: non-coding RNA, 1771 nt
Organism: Oryza sativa Japonica Group (Japanese rice)
Lineage: Eukaryota; Viridiplantae; Streptophyta; Magnoliopsida; Poales; Poaceae
Source: RefSeq, a predicted model, not a curated record